This 1033-nucleotide long non-coding RNA is filed under the name Olea europaea subsp. europaea. The record is from RNAcentral. Lineage: Eukaryota; Viridiplantae; Streptophyta; Magnoliopsida; Lamiales; Oleaceae.
AGAAAGGUCCUUUAACAAUUAAUGUAAAAUUGGCCUUUCAAGCAACUAUAAGAUAGGACGCUGUAUACCACUUGGGGUGCUAAAUCGUAAACAAGAUUUCUCGUCCUACACAUUCAAUCAAGGUUCUCACUGCGAAGAUAUAAUUAACGGGAGACAAAUGGUGCGGGAAUGGAAAGAAUUGAUAGAUGUGGAUGGACGUGCCAGUUUUUGCAUCAAUCUUUUUCAAGUCCUUUGUGUAGUUUUCGGUACCAUUUUCAUCAUAUUAGUAGUUAUCACAACAUGCGCAGAUGGUGCAGUACCGCAAGACAAAGAUGCAGCCACAGAUUCGGGCGUCUAUGGAAGCACUUGCGAAGCCGGCUGUGGUGCAGGUUGUGGUGGAUAACUAGCACCACCCUCGUCCGCCAUCAGUCUCUCCUAAUGAAUCCUCAGAAGAAGAAUUCAUCCAUAUUUACGGAAAAAAGAUAGUGAAAAUCCAAUGAGCCUUUUUGACAUAAUUAACUGUUUAGUUCAUCCAAUAGCUGUUUCAGAUUGUCCCUUUAUAUUAAAUGCAAACAUGCCCUGAAUGUGGUAAGUAAGCAACUUCUGUGGGUUAUUGGCUAAACAUAUCACGGCAAUUUGUGUGGGAAAAUGCUACUCUAGCCAUUCAACAAAUGAGAAAAAAAAUCCAGCAGUGUUACUAUACAAGUGUAAUGUAGUGUCAAACAUGUUAUGGUCCACGUUCUUCAGCGAAUUUAGAGAGAGAUGACGAUGUAUGUAGUGAAAGAAUUUUAGCAAAGUUUAUUUAAGCCAGAGUACUUGUGGUACAGAGUGCUACCUGUUGGAAAAUGACUUGUAAACGGCGCUGCUUUGGAAUAAUUUUGAGUAGGACCGUUCAUUUGUUUUGAAAGAUCAAAGUAGAUUCAUGUUCUCUUCCAUGAUAACAUCGAAAUCAUAUAUUUAAGUCAAUUGCUUCAUAAGUUCCAUCUCGUAUCUCUUCUUUAGCACCUGAAUUGUGGUCAUAAAAUAAUUCUACUGCACCCCAUAAAGAGCUACA